This 520-nucleotide long non-coding RNA is filed under the name Arabidopsis thaliana (thale cress). Its description in RNAcentral is "long non-coding RNA (ATHA_LNC000105)". Lineage: Eukaryota; Viridiplantae; Streptophyta; Magnoliopsida; Brassicales; Brassicaceae. The record is from RNAcentral.
GGUCUUUGCCGAGCUCCGUGCUCGCUAUAGCCGGAGUUAAUCCUCCUGUUUGCAUGAAGUUUCUCUCUUCUGCAACCAAUUCAAAGGUCGACAACUUCCUGAAAGGAUCCAUUUAAAACUCAAAUAAGUAACAACAUCUCAACCAUGUGAAAGUGUAAUGAUGCUUCAAUUGUUCUUUUACCAUUAUGACGAUUUUGAAUGUAACUCGUAUAUAAAGAUCUUAGAUAUGAAAGGGCUCUGAUUGAUGAUUGUCAAAACAGUUUAAAACCGCAGACUUACGUGGGGUAAGAACACAAAAAUAGAUUUUUGCUGUAACCCUUUAGGCUCAGACGAGAGAAGAUGCUAACCUGAGCUGAGGAAAAUGAAGGUAAAGGAGGGGUUUUUGGUGAUUCGCCGAUUGUGACGCCGGUGAUAGGAGCGAUUAGCACCGAGAAGGGAUGAAAAAACGAUUCUUUCAAUUGGGUUAUCGAAGGAAUCUUCGUAUGAGCAUAGUGAUCAAGUCGGGUUUUCGAGAGCUAGG